This 1705-nucleotide long non-coding RNA is filed under the name Callithrix jacchus (white-tufted-ear marmoset). RNAcentral describes it as "lncRNA (ENSCJAG00000072352.1)". Lineage: Eukaryota; Metazoa; Chordata; Mammalia; Primates; Cebidae. The record is from RNAcentral.
UUUUUUUUCCUCAGAUGCUCUGUCUGGGGGGGGGUUGGGGCUUUUCUUGUGAGUGUCCACCUCACUGUCCUGCCCAGCUAGGAGGCAGUCUAGUCACUUUUUGCCUGCUGAUGCUCCGCCCUGCUGGUGUGAGGUUCGCCCUUUUCCUGCAGGCUCCGCCCUUCUGCUGUGGUCUCUGCCCUGUUGCCUCGGGCUACGCCCUGCGGCGGAGUCUCUCUGUUGUACCGGGUUGCCUCGGCAGCGGCAGGCUGCGUCAGCAAUGGGCGUGUACCUCAGUAGGGGCUGAUUGCCUCGGUAAUGGCUGACGCCCCUCCCCCGCGGAGCUGCACUUUAAAAAAAAAACCUAUUCACCGGGAGCAUUUGGAAUCGCUGUUUUGUUUGUCGCACUGCGCUCCCCCAAACGCUGAGUCCCUGGGAUUUCCUGGGCUGGGUCACAGUUCAAGACCCGUUCAGUCUCAAGUUCAGCCCUCUCGGGUCUUAGUUUGCCAGUUCAACAGGGCACCCGUAACAGUGCGCUUUUGUAUGGAGUGCUGUGGAGCGCCUUUGCGCUCCAGCGCGGGCCGGAGCCGCACCGGCUGCCGGCUAGCCAGUGGAGACCUCUGCCUGGCGUCCCACGUCUCUUUUGUAUCUGGGAAUUUCCCCGUUCUGUGGGCAACUAAGAUCCGUCUGGAAAUGCUUCCCCGACUCACCCUCUCCGUGCAUCCAGCGAGAGCUUCAAUCCUGGGUUGUUCUCACAGCGCCAUCUUGAGUCCUCCCCCAAUAUUUCAGGAAGUCUCUUUUUAUUGCAGCUUUUAUUAUCUCCUUUCUGGAGAUAUACAUCAAUCUCUUAUGACCUGUGAGAUCAAAUGAUAGUGCUUGGGAAAAUUUUUCCAUCUCACCAACAGUUAUGAAGUAGCUACACUGUGAACUGUAUUGUGACAAAUGCUACAGAUAAGAAAAAAAAAAAAAAGAUCCCAGCACUUGCCUCAGUAGAGCAAAGUCUACUGAGGACACAAAUAAGUAAAUGGAUACUUACAGGAGAGAUUUUUAAAAGGUGAUGAAAACAUGCACAGAGCUGUGAGGGCACAAACAAGGAACACCUAACACAGGAUUUUAGAAUCAGAUAAAGAGAAAUACAAGGAACGAUCACGUGAAUAGAAGAACCAGAAUGGCUAGUGUCCAGAAGGAAUUGUUGGUCAAUAGUCCAUGAUGCCACCAAGAGGCUGAGAAAGAUGAAAACGGAAGCAAAACAACACAAAACAGCAUUAGAGUUGGCAGUCUGUCUGUACUUUAAUGACCUUUGAAAGGGCAGUUUCAGCAGAGUGAUGAAGGCUGAAGUCAGAUUUCAAGGAAUUAACAAUAGUUUAAGGGUGGAAGCUAAACAUCACAAGUACAGUUUAUUUGGAAAAAAUUGAAUGGUAAAAAUAAAAGUAAAGAUGGAAAUAUGAUAGUAACUUGAAAGGACAGUAGAACUGAGCUUAGGAUUUUGGCAUGCCAGUAUUUUUACACUGCAUCAGGGGAGAGAGAGAAAUUGUAUUGCAAGUAGAGGAUAGAUGUUCUAGAAAAAACCUCCUAAAGCAGUGCAGUCUGGAAAAAAAAGAAUAAAGGCAUAAGGGUAAGAGUUGCUAAUGGAGAGACAUUUUGUUCUCUAGGACAGGAACACGGAAACAAACACAAAUGAAGAGAAAAUAGAAUAAUAAUUGUUCAUGGAAAGAAAAGAAUUUGA